Molecule: ribosomal RNA, 199 nt
Filed under: uncultured bacterium
Lineage: Bacteria
Description: partial 16S ribosomal RNA
Rfam family: Bacterial small subunit ribosomal RNA
Source: RNAcentral
ACGCUCGACACCUACGGAAGGCAGCAGUCGGGAAUAUUGCGCAAUGGAGGAAACUCUGACGCAGUGACGCCGCGUAUGGGAAGAAGGUUUUCGGAUUGUAAACCAUUUUAGACAAGGAAGAAACAAGACAGUACUUGUAGAAUAAGCUCCGGCUAACUACGUGCCAGCAGCCGCGGUAAUCUGAGCGGGCUGGCAAGGC